This 234-nucleotide long non-coding RNA is filed under the name Sus scrofa (pig). RNAcentral describes it as "lncRNA (ENSSSCG00065004930.1)". The record is from RNAcentral. Lineage: Eukaryota; Metazoa; Chordata; Mammalia; Artiodactyla; Suidae.
ACUCAAAUUACUUUGUGGAGAAAGACUGAGGUUAUCCUUUUCCUUCCACAGGAGAUCGAUGAUGCCUGAGGAAAGAGAACCUACAAAUAACCAAAUAACUGCUCUGUAGGAGCUUCAAUUCCACCACAAAUUUUCAUAGCUAACUUGACUGCUAGAUGACUCCCAUGCCAUACCUGCUGGAGAAGUCUUUUAUUGUGAAGCUCUCUCCUGUUAUCCCCUGACUCUUCAAGAUCU